AAUCUUGCGCAAUGCGCGAAAGCGUGACGCAGCAACGCCGCGUGGGGGAAGAAGGCCUUCGGGUUGUAAACCUCUUUCAGUUGGGACGAAGCCUUACGGGUUAAUAGCCCGUGGAGGUGACGGUACCUUCAGAAGAAGCCCCGGCUAACUAGGUGCCAGCAGCCGCGGUAAUACGUAGGGGGCAAGCGUUGUCCGGAUUUACUGGGCGUAAAGGGCGCGCAGGCGGUCGUGCAAGUCGCGUGUGAAAGCCCCCGGCUCAACUGGGGAGGGUCACGCGAUACUGCUCGACUCGAAGGCAGGAGAGGGAAGUGGAAUUCCCGGUGUAGUGGUGAAAUGCGUAGAUAUCGGGAGGAACACCAGUGGCGAAGGCGACUUCCUGGCCUGUUCUUGACGCUGAGGCGCGAAAGCUAGGGUAGCAAAC
This 421-nucleotide ribosomal RNA is filed under the name uncultured bacterium. RNAcentral describes it as "bacterial SSU rRNA". It matches the Rfam family "Bacterial small subunit ribosomal RNA", at positions 360 to 773 of the family's 1533-position model. The record is from RNAcentral.